Molecule: ribosomal RNA, 402 nt
Filed under: Triticum aestivum (bread wheat)
Lineage: Eukaryota; Viridiplantae; Streptophyta; Magnoliopsida; Poales; Poaceae
Description: partial small subunit ribosomal RNA
Source: RNAcentral
AUGUCUUCCUCUAGCGCCGCUCAAUCCAAUCUCAGCGGCCAAGUCACGGAGAAGCUCUCCCGGACGAACUAUGUCCUGUGGCGAACGCAAGUUACGCCGCAGCUGAGGGGAGCCGGGCUCUUCGGCUAUGUCGAUGGAACCAUGCCGGAACCCGCCCGCCUCCCUGUCACCAAGGACAAGGAAGGCAAGGAGACUACGGAUCCCAACCCUGUCCAUCCCAUCUGGGUGAGGGAGGAUCAACAAGUGCUCGGCUACCUCCUCAACAACCUCUCCAAAGAAGUGCUGAUCACGGUGACCGCGAUCACCACCGCGCACGCUCUCUGGGCGGCGCUCGCAGGCAUGUUUUCUUCUCAAUCUUUGAGUCGUGUUAACAACAUUCGCACUGCUUUGAACAAUGCAUAG